AAAAACAUUGCUUUAUGAAUAAAAUAUAAAGUAAUUCCUGCCCAGUGACACAAGUUCAACGGCCGCGGUAUCCUAACCGUGCAAAGGUAGCAUAAUCACUUGCCUAUUAAUUAUAGGCUAGAAUGAACGGACCAACGAAAUAAAAACUGUCUCAGUAUGACCACCCAAAAAUUAUUCUCUAUAUGAAGAAAUAUAGAUUGAAUCGAAGGACAAGAAGACCCUAUAGAGCUUUAUUUUAAAUAUAGAUAAACUAUAGAUAAAUUCGGUUGGGGCGACCGGGGCACUACUAAACUCCCCCAAAAAUAUAGAUUUAUCAAUCUCCAUAAUGACCCUUAUAAGAUCAUAAAAUCAAGCUACCUUAGGGAUAACAGGCUAAUCCUAUUCAUGAGUCCUUAUCAACAAUAGGGAUUGGCACCUCGAUGUUGGCUUAGGAAUCAAUAUAGCGCAAAAGCUAUAUUAAGAUAGUUUGUUCAACUAAUAAUUCCCUACGUGAUCUG
RNAcentral lists this ribosomal RNA (497 nucleotides) under Megascolecidae sp. YN201742-02. Its description in RNAcentral is "partial large subunit ribosomal RNA". It matches the Rfam family "Bacterial large subunit ribosomal RNA", at positions 1809 to 2607 of the family's 2925-position model. Lineage: Eukaryota; Metazoa; Annelida; Clitellata; Crassiclitellata; Megascolecidae. The record is from RNAcentral.